GUGAGAUCCUGCAUGUUUUGACUGGAAUGCCAGGCUUAACGUUGCUCAGAAGUUGCUUCUAUGAGGAUGUCUCCCAGCAGCUGUCGGUGUUUCCAAUGAGUCAUUGCCAGCCCCUGCAAUGAGCCUCUCAGGCUGAGUGCCUUCAUUUUGAGAGCUGCUCGCUGCCUGUUGUUGUUUCAGUUGACGGCCCACUGCUGUGUGCAGAGUUCACCAGCCACUGUGAUGUGCAGUGCAGCAGCUGACCUGCCUGCCCUGUGGUUUUCUAAUCCCAUCGAGGGGACGUCUUCGAUGUUCUCACCAAGACUGCACAACAACAGUGCUGGGUGGACCACAUCCUCCCUCAUGUUUGGUGCCACCAGUUUUAUAGAUUUUGGCUAGUGUGGGUGUGUGGUGGUUUUCGUUGGUGUUUGCGAUGCAUCUUCCUGGUGCUCAAGUCUGUCGAGCACUAUUUCUUGUGUUUAUUUGCCAUCAUUUGGCGAAGUGUUCAAAUCCUUUGACCGGUGUUUCACCAAGUUGUUUUAUUAUGAAAUUUUAGGGGUUAUUCUGGAUGUCAGCACUUGGAUAAAUAUUUGAGAAUAUUUUUUGCAGUAAGUGACAUCAUUUUAUGUGGAUGAACAGAAGAUUUUAAUUUUGAUAAAGUCUAAUGGAUAUAUGUGAUGUUAGCGUAUUUUGAAUGCAUACAUGUGUAUAUUUAAUGCAUUCUUUUAUGACGAUUGUGCACUUCAUGUGAAAUGGGGCAACCUUGCCUCGCCCUCCCGGAGGCCCCUGCUUCUCUGACCUGUGGGUGUCAUAGGCACUUCGCUUACUGACACCUUACGGCAUGGUUUCUUUUGCUCUAAGCCUGCACGUGCGUUUUAAAGGUAAUUUCCUCCGUUAGAGAAGUCACAUACACUCACCCUGCUGUUUGCCAUUUCUGGAGCUCUUUAUUUCCUUCUUCAUAUCUGCAUUUCCCUCUGGAAUCAUUUCCAUUCAGCCUGAAGAACUCUUCUGCCUGGGACUCCACCCUCUUUUCUAGCAGCUGGGCUCAUUGGGAGCUCUGUCCUCUGGUGGGUCUGGCCAGGGGACGCUGGGUUUUCUAUUAGGGUUUCAGUUGGCCCGUGUGGUGCCAAUGUCAAUGUG
Long non-coding RNA from Pongo pygmaeus (Bornean orangutan), 1119 nucleotides. RefSeq lists it as uncharacterized. The record is from RefSeq and is a predicted model, not a curated record. NCBI's taxonomy places the organism in Eukaryota, Metazoa, Chordata, Mammalia, Primates, Hominidae. The transcript is spliced from 3 exons.